GUCCAUGGAGGACUAGUGGUUAGGCCUCUGUGCUCUCACCACCAUGGCCUGGGUUCAAUUCCCAGCCAGACA
Molecule: non-coding RNA, 72 nt
Organism: Pangasius djambal
Lineage: Eukaryota; Metazoa; Chordata; Actinopteri; Siluriformes; Pangasiidae
Source: the annotation of a GenBank genome assembly